This 1640-nucleotide ribosomal RNA is filed under the name wastewater metagenome. Its description in RNAcentral is "bacterial LSU rRNA". It matches the Rfam family "Bacterial large subunit ribosomal RNA", at positions 911 to 2558 of the family's 2925-position model. The record is from RNAcentral.
CAAUAGGGCUAGGGGGCUUCACCGCCUACCAACCCCUGAUGAACUCCGAAUGCCAUGACAUCAUACCGGCAGUGAGGCUACGGGUGCUAAGGUCCGUAGCCGAGAGGGGAACAACCCAGACCAACAGCUAAGGUCCCCAAAUAGAUAUUAAGUUGAUUUUAACGAUGUGAGGAUGCAGUGACAGCUAGGAUGUUUGCUUGGAAGCAGCAAUUCAUUUAAAGAGUGCGUAACAGCUCACUAGUCGAGCGUUCUUGCGCGGAAAAUAAUCGGGCAUCAAAUAUCUUACCGAAGCUUUGGAUACCAGUCUAGGACUGGUGGUGGUAGGGGAGCAUUCUAAACUGCAGUGAAGGUGUGUCGUGAGAUGCGCUGGAGUGUUUAGAAAAGCAAAUGUAGGAAUGAGUAACGAUAAAAUAGGUGAGAAACCUAUUCGCCGUAAGACUAAGGAUUCCGGGAUCUAUGUUAAUCAGAACCGGGUUAGUCGGGGCCUAAGGUGUAGCCGAAGGGCGAAGCCGAUGGGAAACAGGUUAAUAUUCCUGUACAUGUAUCAGCUGUGAUGGGGUGACGAAGGAGCGUAAGGUUCGCCCACUGACGGAAUAGUGGGUUGAAGGGAGAAGGCGUUGAAGAUAUAGGCAAAUCCGUAUCUGAGCUGAGACCUGAUAGUACACAAGUCCCUUGGGAUGAGUGAUAGUGACUGUAAGCAUACUUCCAAGAAAAACCUCUAAACUUCAGGCUGACACAUCCCGUACCGUAAACCGACACAGGUAGUCGAGGAGAGUAUCCUAAGGCGCUCGAGUGAUCCGUGGCUAAGGAACUAGGCAAAAUGGUCUCGUAACUUCGGGAGAAGAGACUCCCCUCGUGAGAGGGGACGCAGUGAAGAGGCCCAGGCGACUGUUUAACAAAAACACAGGACUCUGCAAAAUCGUAAGAUGAAGUAUAGGGUCUGACACCUGCCCGGUGCUGGAAGGUUAAGGAAGGGGGUUAGUGCGUAAGUGCGAAGCUCUUAACUGAAGCCCCAGUAAACGGCGGCCGUAACUAUAACGGUCCUAAGGUAGCGAAAUUCCUUGUCGGGUAAGUUCCGACCUGCACGAAUGGUGUAACGAUCUGGGCACUGUCUCAGCUGUGAGCUCGGUGAAAUUGUAGUAUCGGUGAAGAUGCCGAUUACCCGCAACGGGACGGAAAGACCCCGUGAACCUUUACUACAACUUCACAUUGAGCUUGAAUACAGGAUGUGUAGGAUAGGUGGGAGGCUACGAAGCUGUGACGCUAGUCAUGGUGGAGCCAACGUUGAAAUACCACCCUUCCUGUAUUUAGGUUCUAAUCCCUAAAAGGGAAACAGUGUGUGGUGGGUAGUUUGACUGGGGUGGUCGCCUCCAAAAAAGUAACGGAGGCUCGCAAAGGUACACUCAGCAUGGUCGGUAAUCAUGCGAAGAGCGUAUUAGUAUAAGUGUGCUUGACUGAGAGACCGACGGGUCGAUCAGGAACGAAAGUUGGCUAAAGUGAUCCGGUGGUUCCGCAUGGAAGGGCCAUCGCUCAAAGGAUAAAAGGUACUCCGGGGAUAACAGGCUGAUCUCCCCCAAGAGCUCAUAUCGACGGGGAGGUUUGGCACCUCGAUGUCGGCUCGUCACAUCCUGGGGCUGGAG